Alosa alosa (allis shad) is the source of this 190-nucleotide small nuclear RNA. RefSeq annotates it as U2 spliceosomal RNA. The record is from RefSeq and is a predicted model, not a curated record. The transcript has a single exon. Lineage: Eukaryota; Metazoa; Chordata; Actinopteri; Clupeiformes; Clupeidae.
UCAGCUUCUCGGCCUUUUGGCUAAGAUCAAGUGUGAUAUCUGUUCUUAUCAGUUUAAUAUCUAAUCGUCCUCUACCCGAGGACUAAUAUAUUAAUCUGAUUUUUGGAACAUAUGAGGAGACGGAAGAGGGCUUACUCCGUCCGCUCCACCUUGCCAUUGAUGUGCAGUGACUCAGGGCAGGGUGCACAUC